UGGAUAUUUAUCAUGCUACAUGUAUUAAAGAGUAUAUUAUAUUUGAUUGGAUGUUCCAUAAAUUCAUACUUUAUUGUUGGAAGUUCUAUCAAUUACACCCCAGUUCUAUUGUUAUACUUCAUAGUUUCUAUUUCUGAAACAAGUGUAAAUUGAAUAGAUCUAUUGUUACGAAUAACAAUGGAUUUUGACCACAGGGUGUGACGAGCGGGGUUUCUGGAAACCCCUGCUUCUACAUCCCGAAAGUCCAUUGUUAUUCAUUACAAUAGAAAUUGAUUAUUUUUUAAAUAGCAUGAACAUAAGAAAUUACUAAUAGUGUUCACUACAAGUUGUUUCAAGAUAUUAAAAAAAACCCACACAUUUUAGGAAAUUCCAAUAGCGAAAAAAAUAUUAAGUAUCUAUUUUGAAUAAAAAAAAAGUCCUGUAAGGGAAAAAUCAUUUGAUUGAUAGCAUUGAAAACUAAAUAAAAUUGUUCGCGAUUUGCGAGAGAGAAAAAAAUUCUGACCCCGACAAAAAACCAUAACCCCCCUUUGAAGUUAAAAUGGUUGCUCCCUAAAUACUCCUUUUCUUGAAGGUAACAUUUUUGAUCCCAGUCAUAUGUCUCUAUUCUAAAGCAUUGAUCUUAAAAAAAACGGGGAUUCUAUUUCCCGGACCCCCCCCCCCCCCCCCUGGAUUGCCCCGAGUCCGAAUAUGAAUGUUUGUUUAUUCUCGAGAAGGGGGCUUCUUUUUUUUUUUAUAAAAUAGUUACAUAAAAAAUACUUUUAUGAUUACCUUCAUUAAACUGAUACUGGUAAGUACUUUGGGUUACAAUAUUGCCUUUAUCUUUAGUCUCUUCUACCAAUUCUAACGCUUGACUCAAGAUGUCGUCCGUCUUAUACCCGUCCAUAUUGACAACUGCAUACAAGGAGCAUGAUGUAUUUUUUUUUGUAACAAGAAUGCACGAAACGGUAAACCUUGAACUACAGAUCCAUAUUAGCACCAGGAUUUAACGGGAAUAUGCAAAACAGCAACUUUGACAUUCGUAAAAUCAACUCACUUGUCAAAGUUUGAACGAACAUAGCCAAAGUAAGGUUACUAGUGGGGUUUCAUGUAAAAAAAAUGUUUUUCUUAUAAAUCGUGAUUUGAUUUUGUCAAUAAAUAUGCUAUCCGUUCUUUUUCAUUUAAUAAUCAAUGUUAACAAAUAAAGGGUUUAGCAAUGGGUGUAAGUUAGUUAUUGUUCUGCAACUCAUUCAUCAUUUGUUCUUCAUGUGAUCAUCAUUUUAUAUUGUUUAUGUUUCAUUGCGUACAUCACUUUAUAUGCUCCAGUUUUAGGAGUUUUAUACAGGACAGUGUAGGAACCCAUGUUACUUUCCCCUCUCUUCUGAGUGACGAAAACUGCUCAGCAGGCCGUGUGCACAACUGCAAGGAACAUUCAGCGGACACGUUGUCCAAAGGAACAAUUCGUGGCUAACCACAGCUUUUUCACCAUUUGGAUUGGUAGUGAAAUAAAAGUCAGCUCCUGAUUGUUUUAUCUUUACAUAAACCCAGUCAUCUUGGUUAAACUCGCUGGUCCGGCCAGUACAGUGAAAAAGCUACGACUUGCCUGUUGUUUUUCUUGGAUAACGUACGCCACUCCACGACAGUCAGCAGACCCAUAACGUAGUUCCAACGACAACGUUUCGUGCUAGUAAAUUGACGGCAACCUGUCUUUACAUAUCCAGACAAGGAACGACUACGUAGCAACCUUUACACUGACAGCGGACUACAUAACUUGUGUGUACUAGGCAGCAACCCAACAAGGUUGAGUCACCAUGGAUCCCAGUCACGUGGAACAGCAAGAAGAGGUUCAGCCCAAAGAGGGAGAUGUCCCUGAACUAUUAGAAAAUCCGUCUAAUACAACACAUUCAGAUGAAAAUCCCGAGACUAGGCGAGUACGUGACCUCACGGAGAAAGGAAAAGGAGCUUUCACAGAAAAACGUGACAAGUUCUGUCAGGAACAAGAGGCUCUCUGGACAGACAUUGAAUCCCAGUUAUUGGAAGUCACCACGCCUCCUAACGAGCUCCAGCAACUCCUAACAGCCCAGGACAAACUUGUUAAAGCCUGUAAUAAUUAUCGUAGGCUCACAGAUGAAUUCCUGGACUUUCUGAAAAGGACCAGAACAUCGGAGAGUCAAAAAGAAAUAGAAGCAUGUAAUCUCUCAUUGGGUUUUCGUCUGUCCAAAGUGGAACUGGUUAUGGAAAAACUACACGAGCAUCGCCUCGCCCUAACAAAGGCCAAAUCCACUAAAACAAAGACCUCAAAGGGUAAGAAAACCUCACACAGCGGUAGCUCUAACGUGUCAGACAUGUCAAGCCUAGCACGGAGAAAGCGUGCCAAGGCAGAGGCUGCUAAGUCUAAAAUAGCCUUUGUCGAAAAACAUGCCCUUAUCCUACAUCAGGAGGCAAUGUUAGAGGAACAAGCCCUGUUCAGACAAAUUGAAAUGGAACAGGAAGCAGCACGCAAAAAGGCUCAAAUGCAACAAGAAGCCGCACGAGUAAGCCGGGAAAAAGCCGACCUGAAGGCCAAAUUUAACAUUCUCGAAGCACAGAAAGAAGCCGUCGCCGCAGAAGCCGAGGCUCGUAUCCUGGAAUACGAUGACAGUCAAGCGUUGGACGAUCUUCCUAAUGAGACAGAAGACCCGCUCAAACGGGUGCAAGAUUUCAUAAACAAACAUCCUGUACCAACCGCCGAACAGGAAGUGUCAGGCCCUCUAAAGAAAAAACAAACUCCUGUAAAGCUAAGUCAUGAAGCACCAGCGUUCGUGCCAUCCGUGGCACUGAACUUGCCAUCACAAACACCUGAGGUCUUGCCUACACAUGCUAAGUCACCAGAAGUUAAUGUAUUCCCAGAUCUGGGAACAAUAACUGGCAUAGGAAAACAGGGCGUUUCAGAAAAGAUCCCUGUCUUACAACAAAAACAAGGCAUUAUUGAAGAGAUCCCUGUCUUACAACAAAAACAAGGCGUUAUAGAAGAGAUCACUGUCUUACAACAAAAACAAGGCGUUAUAGAAGAGAUCCCUGUUUCACACCAAAAACAAGGCGUAAUAGAAGAGAACCCUGUUGCAUACCAGCAACCAAUCAAUCCUACGUCGGAGAUAACCAGAUUUCUCCUUACGCAAGGACCUGUUGUUCUCACGGAUCACAAACUUUAACGACCGGGCAGAAUCCUUCCAUACAUGGAAAGCCAGCUUUAAAAACGUCAUAGACGAAUUACAAGUUUCGGACUCGGAACAGAUAGACCUACUGAUUAAGUGGCUAGGGCCAGAGUCUGCCAAACAUACCUUGAGUAUAAGGGCAACAAAUGCCAACAACCCAACAAGAGGCCUACAGAGGUUAUGGCAGAGACUGGAUGAGCGAUAUGGUUCUCCAGAAAUGUUGGAGGCCUCUCUCACAAGCAAACUUGUCAAUUUUCCUACCUUGACGAACAAAGAUAGCGCACGUCUUUAUGACUUGUCUGAUAUUCUAUCACAAAUAGAAUGUCACAAGGAAAAUCCCAAGCUGGGAUGUUUGCUUGCUUAUUUCGACUCUUCGUCCGGGAUAAAUCCUAUCGUGGAAAAACUGCCAUACGGACUCCAAGAAAAGUGGAUAACAAGGGCUUCAAGAUACAAGUCUAAAUAUGAAGUUGCCUUUCCACCUUUCACAGAAUUCUCUGCCUUCAUCAGGGAAAUUAGCAAAAUUAAGAACGAUCCUGGUUUCAUUUUUGGGUCAAGAGUCACACCAAGUACAAAAGGUGCUGCGCCAAAGUUCACACCUCAAACAUAUUCUGAAGUCAAUGUUUAUAAGACAGCAGUUGAACAGCAACCUGGAGACAGCAGUGAACAACAAAGUCUUUGCCUUUUGCAUAAUACAAAGCAUACCUUAAACGAAUGCCGAGCGUUCCGUGCCAAAUCAAUCGAGGAACGCAAGGAACAGUUGAGGCAAAACAAUCUUUGUUACAAAUGCUGAGAUUCAACUAUGCACAGAAGUCGUGAUUGCAACGCAAGUAUCAGUUGCAAUGAAUGCGGAAGUAAACAACACACCACCGCAUUACACACAAAUCGAGUGUACCAGCCCAAAGGUGCACCGCCUAGAUCAGUCGACGGCGGGGAGCUAAUUGAUACAGCCUACGGCGGGGAGCAACUUGAGUUAGCUGAAACCAAGCUAACCUCUGUUAGUUCAACUUGCACAGAUAUCUGUAAAGAUGGCAACAGUAGUAAAUCUUGUGCCAAGAUACUUCCUGUGAGUCUCUUUGACAAAAAUAAUCAGGACAAAGUAAUUCGCAUGUAUGCAAUUAUUGACGACCAAAGCAACCGGUCUCUCUCCGCUCCUGAAUUCUUCAGCCUAUUCAACGUACAGGAAGAAACAAAAGACUAUAUAUAUGUUAUCCACAUGCUCCGGCAGCAAGGUUACUUCCGGUAAACGAGGAAACGGCUUUGUCGUAAAGUCUGUACAAGACAAUACUAGAUUCAAUCUGCCUGAACUGAUUGAAUGCGAUAACAUACCCAAUAAUCGGAACGAAAUUGAUACACCUGAGGAUAUAUUGCAAUAUCAACACUUGCAAGAACUACAAAAAAAUAUUCUCCCGAUUGAUGGAAAAUGCAAAAUCCUAUUGCUCAUUGGAAGAGACCUAAUAGAGGCACAUCACGUCCUUGAUCAACGUCUAGGACCACCAAAGGCUCCAUUUGCGCAAAAGUUAAACCUGGGUUGGAUUAUCGUUGGUUAAAUACGCUCCGAUAAGCAACAUGUUCACCUUGAACUCACUACAAAGGAAACGAAUCCAACUUGCAGUGUUGUGAAACCACAUACAAAGAAAUUACCUGAGUGUAAUAAAACCAACACCCAGUCAAAUGGAAUUCAAACUGAUUCGUUUAAACAUUAUCCCCGUUUACAUGGGCAGCCGAAAACGAAAUCAGCAACUUCGAUCGUCAGAUUUGCAGAAGCCGAAAAGUUCAUUUCGGAAGCAACACCACCAAAAGUGAAUGCCGACAAAGAAAAGUACAUCCGAAAACAUUUAAUUCCCAAGGAAAGCUUCAAUUCGCCUUUGGAUACGCAAGGACAAGAGGAAAGUAGAAUAGACAAUUCCGACUUAAGUCACAGAGAAAACGAACAUGGCACCGGAUGGUCUACUGUAUGCCAUAAACGUAAAGGAAAGCGUCCGUUUCGCAAGACGUCCCCGUUGGAUCGCAUAUCUGUGUCGAAAGGAGAUUCAUCCAUCAGAACUACAGCCAUGGAAUUGGAUCUUAUAUCGCCGCGAUCUCGUCGGAAACACCACCUUAUCUAGGAAAGAAGCUGUGAAAUACCCAGCCUCCCGUUGGAUUACUUCCAAGUUCAUAUAAGUGGAACUUGGGACGGCUGUUAUAUAUUUAACAUUUUAUUUGUUUUAAUAAUGGAAUAGUGAUGUCAGAUAGACCUCAGACGGGGAGUGUUCUGCAACUCAUUCAUCAUUUGUUCUUCAUGUGAUCAUCAUUUUAUAUUGUUUAUGUUUCAUUGCGUACAUCACUUUAUAUGCUCCAGUUUUAGGAGUUUUAUACAGGACAGUGUAGGAACCCAUGUUACUUUCCCCUCUCUUCUGAGUGACGAAAACUGCUCAGCAGGCCGUGUGCACAACUGCAAGGAACAUUCAGCGGACACGUUGUCCAAAGGAACAAUUCGUGGCUAACCACAGCUUGACCUGUCAAAUACAAGAUACAGAGUGCCAGUCCCACUUUGAUGAAGUAUUAAAAGCAAUGGUUGGAAUAAGGAAAGCUUUAUUAUUUAAACAGGAAACAGUAAUGAAUGAAUGAAGAUUUGUAUCCCUUUUCAAUUCAUCUGAAAACCUGAUGAUUGAGCGGUCUUGCAAAAAAUGUACCUACGGAGUCAGAUGGGCUAGUGCAUUCAUUUCCAUAAACUGAACUCAGUAACUGUUCAAGGCUUUACACAAUACCUGAGUGUACAUUUCCAGUUACUAAUUACAAUGAUUUAUGUGUAACCUAAAUUUCAUAUUGUUACACUUCUUCGUCACUCGACAGAUAGAAUUAGACACAUCUCUGGAGAAGAAAAAAAUCUUUGUAAUGUUCAAGACAGAAUUAAUGAAAAAGAUCAAGAACUAAUACAACUAUAUGCUUGUAGUACAGAUGUAAACUUUUAUGAAAUGUUUUAAACUAAAGCUACACUUUAAAGCUUUCUGAAAAUAUAUUAAACCAGGAGACAUAUUAGCUACAAUUUAAUUUUAAGAUGACACUGGACAUUCUUAGUUGUUUAUUACUCAAUGAAUAGUUAGUUUAUAGCAUAAGGCCAUAAGUUAUUGUGACCCAAUUAAUUUGUUAUAAUGAUAUUUACUUCAUUUUUAAAAAAUUGCAUUAAUAUUUGUUUAUGAUCAAUGAAUCAGAAAAACUG
RNA transcript from Mytilus californianus (California mussel), 6369 nucleotides. RefSeq lists it as uncharacterized. Lineage: Eukaryota; Metazoa; Mollusca; Bivalvia; Mytilida; Mytilidae. The record is from RefSeq and is a predicted model, not a curated record. The transcript is spliced from 5 exons.